GAUGAACGCUGGCGGCGUGCUUAACACAUGCAAGUCGAACGGAAAGGCUCCUGCUUGCAGGGGUACUCGAGUGGCGAACGGGUGAGUAACACGUGGGUGAUCUGCCCUGCACUUCGGGAUAAGCCUGGGAAACUGGGUCUAAUCCCGGAUAGGACGAUGGUUUGGAUGCCAUUGUGGAAAGUUUUUCGGUGUGGGAUGAGCUCGCGGCCUAUCAGCUUGUUGGUGGGGUAAUGGCCUACCAAGGCGUCGACGGGUAGCCGGCCUGAGAGGGUGUACGGCCACAUUGGGACUGAGAUACGGCCCAGACUCCUACGGGAGGCAGCAGUGGGGAAUAUUGCACAAUGGGCGCAAGCCUGAUGCAGCGACGCCGCGUGGGGGAUGACGGCCUUCGGGUUGUAAACUCCUUUCGCUAGGGACGAAGCGCAAGUGACGGUACCUGGAGAAGAAGCACCGGCUAACUACGUG
Molecule: ribosomal RNA, 465 nt
Filed under: uncultured bacterium
Lineage: Bacteria
Description: partial 16S ribosomal RNA
Rfam family: Bacterial small subunit ribosomal RNA
Source: RNAcentral